UUUUUUGAGAGUUUGAUCCUGGCUCAGGAUGAAUGCUGGCGGUGUGCCUUAAGCAUGCAAGUUGAACGGUAAGUUAGUCUUCGGACUAACACAAGUAGCAGACGGGUGAGUACAACACAGGAACUUACCCUCAAGUGGGGAAUAGCCAGUCGAAAGACUGGGUAAUACCGCAUGUGAUCUUCGGAUCAAAGCCUUCGGGCGCUUGGGGAGAGGCCUGUGCCCUAUCAGGUAGUUGGUGAGGUAAUAGCUCACCAAGCCGACAACGGGUAGCCGGUGUGAGAGCACGACCGGCCACAAGGUUACUGAGACACGGAACCUACACCUACGGGUGGCAGCAACUGGGAAUAUUGCGCAAUGGGCGAAAGCCUGACGCAGCGACACCGCGUGUGGGAAGACGCUCUUCGGAGUGUAAACCACUGUGGCAGGGGAACAAUUUUUGAGGGUACCCUGCUAGAAAGCACCUGCUAACUACGUGCCAGAAGCCUCGGUAAUACGUAGGGUGCAAGCAUUAUCCGGAUUUAUUGGGCGUAAAGCGUCCGUCGGCGUUUUAUUAAGUUUUAACUUUAAUACUGGAGCUUAACUCCAGAUACAGGUUAAAAUACUGGUAGAAUUGAGUUUACUAGGGGGAGCUGGAAUUCUCGGUGGAGGGGUGAAAUCCGUAGAUAUCGAGAGGAACACCAUUCGCGAAGGCGGGCUCCUGGAGUAUAACUGACGCUCAGGGACGAAAGUCUGGGUAGCAAAAGGGAUUAGAGACCCCUGUAGUCCAGACCGUAAACGAUCCUUGCUAAUUGCUUGAUUCUUCGAAUUGAGUGAUGUAAGCUAACGCGUUAAGCAAGGCGCCUGGGGAUUACGACCGCAAGGUUAAAACUCAAAGGAAUUGACGGGGGAGCGCACAACCGGUGGAGCAUGUGGUUUAAUUCGAUACAAAGCGAAAAACCUUACCUGGGUUUGACAUGUAACUGCACGGUCUAGGAAACUAGAUCUUCUUCGAGAGUGUUACACAGGUGUUGCAUGGCUGUCGUCAGCUCGUGUCGUGAGGCGUCCACUUAAGUGUGGUAACGAGCGCAACCCUUAUCCCGUGUUACAAGUGUCACGGGAGACUGCCUUGCUUUUUGCAGGGAGGAAGGAGAGGAUGACGUCAAGUCAGCACGACCCUUACAUCCAGGGCGACACACAUCCUACAAUGGAGCCGACAACGGGUAGCGAAGCCGCAAGGUGGAGCCAAUCCUUUAAACGGCCCCUCAGUUCAGAUUGUUCUCUGCAAUUCGAGAGCAUGAAGUCGGAAUCGGUAGUAAUCGCAAAUCAGCAGGUUGCGGUGAAUACGUUCUCGCUCCUUGUACACACUGCCCGUCAAACCAGCAAAGUUAGUAGCGCCCGAAGCGGGUGACCGUAACUCGCAAGAGAACGGCCCUUCUACGGCGAGAUUAGCGAUGAGGGUUAAGUCGUAACAAGGUAUCGGUACUGGAAGGUGCCGAUGGAUCACCUCCUUU
RNAcentral lists this ribosomal RNA (1490 nucleotides) under Candidatus Woesebacteria bacterium. Its description in RNAcentral is "bacterial SSU rRNA". It matches the Rfam family "Bacterial small subunit ribosomal RNA". The record is from RNAcentral. Lineage: Bacteria; Candidatus Woeseibacteriota.